AUUGCCCCAGUAACGGCGAGUGAAGCGGCAGCAGCCCAGAUUUGAAAUCCGGCUUCGGCCCGAGUUGUAAUCUGCAGAGGAUGCUUCGGGGCGGGCGUCCCUCCGAGUCCCCUGGAACGGGGCGCCAGAGAGGGUGACAGCCCCGUACGGCCGGACGUGCCGCCCCGCGCGAAGCUCCCUCGAAGAGUCGAGUAGUUUGGGAAUGCUGCUCAAAGCGGGAGGUAAAUUCCUUCCAAGGCUAAAUACCGGCCGGAGACCGAUAGCGCACAAGUAGAGUGAUCGAAAGAUGAAAAGCACUUUGGAAAGAGGGUUAAACAGUACGUGAAAUUGCUGAGAGGGAAGCGCCUGCGGCCAGACUCGCGCCCUGCGGAUCAUCGGGUGCCUCGCGGCGCCCGUGCACUCCGCCGGGACGCGGGCCAGCAUCGGCUCGCGGCGGGGGACAAAAGCGGGGGGAACGUGGCCUCCCCCGGGAGGUGUUAUAGCCCCCCGCCCAAUGCCCCGCGGCGGGCCGAGGACCGCGCCGCUCCGGCGGCAAGGAUGCUGGCGUAAUGGCCGUCGGCGGCCCGUCUUGAAACACGGACCAAGGAGUCGAACGUCCGCGCGAGUGUUUGGGUGACCAAAGCCCUCACGCGCAGUGAAAGCGAACGCAGGUGGGAGCCUCGGCGCACCACCGACCGAUCCUGAAGUUCACGGAUGGAUUUGAGUAGGAGCGUGGCCGUUCGGACCCGAAAGAUGGUGAACUAAGCCUGCGUAGGGCGAAGCCAGAGGAAACUCUGGUGGAGGCCCGCAGCGGUUCUGACGUGCAAAUCGAUCGUCAAACGUGGGCUUGGGGGCGAAAGACCAAUCGAACCGUCUAGUAGCUGGUUUCCGCCGAAGUUUCCCUCAGGAUAGCAGUGCUGGUCUCAGUUUUAUGAGGUAAAGCGAAUGAUUAGGGGCUCGGGGGCGCUGAUUAGCCUUCACCCAUUCUCAAACUUUGAAUAUGUAAGAAGCCCUUGUCGCCUAGGCGGACGCGGGCCU
Molecule: ribosomal RNA, 1017 nt
Filed under: Sammeyersia grandispora
Lineage: Eukaryota; Fungi; Ascomycota; Sordariomycetes; Lulworthiales; Lulworthiaceae
Description: eukaryotic LSU rRNA
Rfam family: Eukaryotic large subunit ribosomal RNA
Source: RNAcentral